GGUCAUGUGCUGGGGUCCAUGAGCUGAGCCUUCCUUCUGAGAAGAAGACCCUAUGGCCCCUUCCUUUUCACAGUGGAAUAUAUCUGUGUGUUCCUUAGAAACAGCAGUGAGAAACUAGGAAAGCUGUCUGGGAUGUGAGACUUUGGUGAAGUUUAAGUUUUAUUGCAACAAAUACGUAGCUGCAGGCACAGUAGGAGGAACCCACAGCUUUUGCAGUUUGUCUUGCAUAUGUGCCUUGGUCAACACACUUUGCAUGGGACUGACCAUCGUGUCGACAUCGGUGUACUGACUGUGACUAUACUUUGAGGCUCUUAAAAUCUAUUCCUGGUGAUUGGGAGGAAAAAAAAAAG
This 350-nucleotide long non-coding RNA is filed under the name Heterocephalus glaber (naked mole-rat). RNAcentral describes it as "lncRNA (ENSHGLG00000037058.1)". Lineage: Eukaryota; Metazoa; Chordata; Mammalia; Rodentia; Bathyergidae. The record is from RNAcentral.